UGAAGCCAGAAGAACGAUUACAGGUGCACAUCCACAUAAAAGAAUGAUUACGGAAACAAACUACACUUGUUAUCGGUCCAUACUUCCAGUUCACUGUGCUGGAAUUGGCCGAAAACGUAGCGAGGGACAAUAAGAAGACCUGUAUCAUGCCGCAACACAUUCAUGUUGUAGCUAUUUUGGUGUGAUGGUGAUGAGAUGUUUUUUGAUCAUGGCCUAAAAUGAUCUGCUACUGUGAAGAUCCUAAUGAUGCUUCAAACAUCUUCUAGUGUCGAUGCCGACGAUGACGAGGAUGAGGACAGAGAGGAGAUCGGUAGCGAGUAGGAGGAUGAUGAAGAAGACGAGGAGAAUGAGGAGGAUGAUAGUGAGGGUGGUAGUAGUAGUUCUUUUUCUUUUCUUUUUUUUGUUUACAGCUUAAGGGAGAGGAUAAAUGUAACGCCCGUAUAAUGGUUUUUGUAUUCGGAAGACUAUGUAUUACACUCAUCAUUCUAGUGAAUGCCAUAGUUUGCUCUAUU
This is a long non-coding RNA of Rhododendron vialii, 512 nucleotides long. RefSeq lists it as uncharacterized. The record is from RefSeq and is a predicted model, not a curated record. The transcript is spliced from 2 exons. NCBI's taxonomy places the organism in Eukaryota, Viridiplantae, Streptophyta, Magnoliopsida, Ericales, Ericaceae.